This 911-nucleotide ribosomal RNA is filed under the name uncultured archaeon. RNAcentral describes it as "bacterial SSU rRNA". It matches the Rfam family "Archaeal small subunit ribosomal RNA", at positions 5 to 922 of the family's 1478-position model. The record is from RNAcentral.
CGGUUGAUCCUGCCAGAGGCCACCGCUAUUGGAUUACGAUUAAACCAUGCGAGUCGAGAGGGUUCGGCCCUCGGCGGACCGCUCAGUAACACGCGGAUAACCUGCCCUUGGGUGGGGGAUAAGCUCGGGAAACUGAGUACAAUACCCCAUAGGCCAUCAAUGCUGGAAUGCUAGAUGGUCCAAAGCUCCGGCGCCCAAGGAUGGAUCUGCGGCCUAUCAGGUCGUAGUUGGUGUAACGGACCAACUAGCCUACGACGGGUACGGGCCUUGAGAGAGGUAGCCCGGAGAUGGAUUCUGAGACAUGAAUCCAGGCCCUACGGGGCGCAGCAGGUGCGAAAACUUCGCAAUGUGGGAAACCACGACGAGGGUAAUCCAAGUGCUUGCACAAUGUGUAGGCUGUUUCCAUGCCUAAAAAGCAUGGAGAGUAAGGGCUGGGUAAGACGGGUGCCAGCCGCCGCGGUAAUACCCGCAGCCCGAGUGGUGGUCGUUAUUAUUGGGCCUAAAACGUCCGUAGCCGGCCCGGUAAAUUCGUGGGGAAAUCGGUCAGCUUAACUGACCGAAGUCCGCGGAGACUGCCGGGCUUGGGACUGGGUGAGGUCAGAGGUACUUCAGGGGUAGGGGUAAAAUCCUGUAAUCCUUGAAGGACCACCAGUGGCGAAGGCGUCUGACUAGAACGGAUCCGACGGUAAGGGACGAAGCCCUGGGGCACAAACGGGAUUAGAUACCCCGGUAGUCCAGGGUGUAAACGCUGUGGGCUUGGUGUUGGGAGUCCCACGAGGGCGCCCAGUGCCGGAGAGAAGUUGUUAAGCCUACUGCCUGGGGAGUACGCUCGCAAGAGUGAAACUUAAAGGAAUUGGCGGGGGAGCACCGCAACGGGUGGAGCGUGCGGUUUAAUUGGAUUCAACGCCGGG